Non-coding RNA from Malus domestica (apple), 1307 nucleotides. The record is from RefSeq and is a predicted model, not a curated record. NCBI's taxonomy places the organism in Eukaryota, Viridiplantae, Streptophyta, Magnoliopsida, Rosales, Rosaceae.
AGCAAAGAAAAUAAGGAAAGCUUUGCUUUAAAAAUUGUCAUUCCUGCCAGUAGAAAUGAUGUGUGGACGGUGGACCACGAAGUGUCAACCAUGGUGGUUCUCUGCCACGGUGCGGACCUUGGAUUAGUCAGAGCUUUAAGUCAUCUUCAGGCUGUCAACGAAACAACCUUGCCCGUCUUCUUCUUCGAAGCUGCGAAACUCUUUGAACGGGCAUGUAGAGAGCUUCUCCUUUGACCUCUUCUUCUCCUUGUCUCCGGCUGUAGCUGGAGAUUUGGGGAAUUGUGACAGCAAAAGCAUGCGUCUUUGGGUCAAUGGCCAUUUUGUUUGCUGCUCAGUGUGCCCAUGCGUGGUGGUGCUCUCCGAACACGGCUUCAAGCCUUCAAUUUCAAGUCACUUGCUUGUCUUUACAGAGCGAAGAGAGAGAGAGACGCAGAUUUGCACAGAGGAGCGGCCAUGGUUGUUCUUGAGAAGAGAAGCAGUGGUGUGAAGGCCUUGUGCCCCUUCUAGAGGAUCACCAGUAACGAUGAUUAGGAGAUGGCGCUGCUACGGACUCUGGAAAGCAACUUACGGAAUCAGGCACUAUGUUGUGGUGACAGAUGGAGGACCGCGGACGUCUUCUUUCUCAGGACGGAUCAUGGACGAUGGAGGGCAUCAAUCACUUAGAUUUGGUUGGAACUUCACGGGGUGGUUUAGACCACCCCGAAGAAAUUCAUGUGAUUUUGGAGAUUAUUUCUGCAUCUUUUUAAUGGGAGCACAUCUUUCUUUUUGCGGCUGUUGCUGACCAAAGUUUACUCAAGACAAUGCUUGCCUGCAAAAUAAAUUUACUGGAGAGAAAAUGAAGAAAAAUGAGACAUAGGUUUUGUACCUUUUGAUUGUUGCUUGUAGUUUGCUCUCCUUCCUUGAAAGGCUUGGUUCAGAAUUGCCGGUAAUGGAAUUACUUCUUGUCUUCUGUUCCGGCAAUACUUCGUUGCUUCUUUUCUUUUUUCUCCAUUUCUACUGCAGCUAGUGCCUAUUUAUAGGCAUCCAAGCGCCAUGUUCUCUGCCACUUUCUCUUAACUUCCCCCACUAAUUGUAUGCAGUCCUCCAUGUUCUUUUGUUGCAGAAAAAUAGGGAGCUCAUGUUUUGCACGUCAUCUUCUUUUGUGCAAAGAAACACACAUUUUUCUUACGAUUUAUUUAUUUAUUUAAUACAUAACUGACAGCACGUCUUCUUUUGUUGAGGAAGCCAUGUUUUUCACGGCUUCUUCCCUUGUAAAAGCAAUUUACUUAUUAUUAAUAUAUUUUCCUUUGUGAAAAUAUAUGGCUCAA